RNAcentral lists this ribosomal RNA (451 nucleotides) under uncultured bacterium. RNAcentral's name for it is "bacterial SSU rRNA". It matches the Rfam family "Bacterial small subunit ribosomal RNA", at positions 340 to 784 of the family's 1533-position model. The record is from RNAcentral.
UACGGAAGGCAGCAGUGGGGAAUAUUGCACAAUGGGCGCAAGCCUGAUGCAGCCAUGCCGCGUGUAUGAAGAAGGCCUUCGGGUUGUAAAGUACUUUCAGUCGUGAGGAAGGUGUUAAGGUUAAUAACCUUAGCAAUUGACGUUAGCGACAGAAGAAGCACCGGCUAACUCCGUGCCAGCAGCCGCGGUAAUACGGAGGGUGCGAGCGUUAAUCGGAAUUACUGGGCGUAAAGGGCACGCAGGCGGUUAAUUAAGUUGGAUGUGAAAUCCCCGGGCUUAACCUGGGAAUGGCAUUCAAGCUGGUUAGCUAGAGUCUUGUAGAGGGGGUAGAAUUCCAUGUGUAGCGGUGAAAUGCGUAGAGAUGUGGAGGAAUACCGGUGGCGAAGGCGGCCCCUGGACAAAGACUGACGCUCAUGUGCGAAAGCGUGGGGAGCGAAACAGGGAUUAGAUA